This 253-nucleotide ribosomal RNA is filed under the name uncultured bacterium. RNAcentral describes it as "partial 16S ribosomal RNA". It matches the Rfam family "Bacterial small subunit ribosomal RNA", at positions 524 to 776 of the family's 1533-position model. The record is from RNAcentral.
UACGUAGGUGGCGAACGUUAUCCGGAAUUACUGGGCGUAAAGGGUCUGUAGACGGUCUGAAAGGUCUGGCGUGACAAUUCUCGGCUUAACUGAGAGAGUGCGUUGGAAACCGGUAGACUAGAAUCACGUCGAGGUCGGUGGAAUUCCCGGUGUAGUGGUGGAAUGCGUAGAGAUCGGGAGGAACCCCUAAAGCGAAGGCAGCCGGCUAGACGAUGAUUGACGCUGAGGGACGAUAGCGUGGGGAGCGAACAGG